This 90-nucleotide transfer RNA is filed under the name Candidatus Paracaedibacteraceae bacterium. RNAcentral describes it as "tRNA-Ser". It matches the Rfam family "tRNA". Rfam says of the family: Transfer RNA (tRNA) molecules are approximately 80 nucleotides in length. Their secondary structure includes four short double-helical elements and three loops (D, anti-codon, and T loops). The record is from RNAcentral. Lineage: Bacteria; Pseudomonadati; Pseudomonadota; Alphaproteobacteria; Holosporales; Candidatus Paracaedibacteraceae.
GGAGAGGUGGCCGAGCGGUUGAAGGCGCCCGAUUGGAAAUCGUGUAUACGAGAGAUCGUAUCGAGGGUUCGAAUCCCUUCCUCUCCUCCA